Molecule: ribosomal RNA, 118 nt
Filed under: Lepisosteus oculatus (spotted gar)
Lineage: Eukaryota; Metazoa; Chordata; Actinopteri; Semionotiformes; Lepisosteidae
Source: RNAcentral
GCCAGCAGCCAUCUCACCCUGCAGCUCCCAGCUGGCAGCCCCACUGGAGCUCAGCAGGUGUGAGCCUGGUCAGUACCUGGAGGGGAGACUCCUGGGAAAACUAAGGUUGCUGCUGGAA